UCGAAUGCAUACAGUCCAAAA
Non-coding RNA from Caenorhabditis elegans, 21 nucleotides. The record is from Ensembl. Lineage: Eukaryota; Metazoa; Nematoda; Chromadorea; Rhabditida; Rhabditidae.